This 497-nucleotide ribosomal RNA is filed under the name uncultured bacterium. RNAcentral's name for it is "partial 16S ribosomal RNA". It matches the Rfam family "Bacterial small subunit ribosomal RNA", at positions 28 to 507 of the family's 1533-position model. The record is from RNAcentral.
GAUGAACGCUGGCGGCGUGCCUAAUACAUGCAAGUCGAGCGAACAGACGAGGAGCUUGCGCCUUCGACGUUAGCGGCGGACGGGUGAUUAACACGUAGUUAACAUACCUAUAAGACUGGGAUAACUACGGGAAACCGGAGCUAAGAACGGAGAAUAUUUCGAACCGCAUGGUUCGAUAGUGAAAGAUGGCUUUGCUAACACUAAUAGAUGGACAUGCGCCGUACUAGCUAGUUGGUAAGGUAACGGCGUACCAAGGCAACGAUGCUUAGCCGACCUGAGAGGGUGGUCGGCUACCCUGGAACUGAGACACGGUCCAGACUCCUGCGGGAGGCCGCAGUCGGGACUCUUACGCAAUGCGGGAGAGCCUAACGGUGCACAGCCGCGUGAGUGAUGAUGGUGUUCGGAUCGUAGAACGCUGUUAUUAGUGAAGAAGUAACGUGCAAGUAACUGGGAACAUAAUGACGGUACCUAAUCAGAAAGCCCCGGCUAACUACGUG